This 529-nucleotide ribosomal RNA is filed under the name uncultured bacterium. RNAcentral's name for it is "bacterial SSU rRNA". It matches the Rfam family "Bacterial small subunit ribosomal RNA", at positions 777 to 1304 of the family's 1533-position model. The record is from RNAcentral.
AAUAGAUACCCCGGUAGUCCACGCCGUAAACGAUGAGUGCUAAGUGUUAGAGGGUUUCCGCCCUUUAGUGCUGCAGCUAACGCAUUAAGCACUCCGCCUGGGGAGUACGGUCGCAAGACUGAAACUCAAAGGAAUUGACGGGGGCCCGCACAAGCGGUGGAGCAUGUGGUUUAAUUCGAAGCAACGCGAAGAACCUUACCAGGUCUUGACAUCCCACUGACCGGUAUAGAGAUAUACCUUUCCCUUCGGGGACAGUGGUGACAGGUGGUGCAUGGUUGUCGUCAGCUCGUGUCGUGAGAUGUUGGGUUAAGUCCCGCAACGAGCGCAACCCUUGAUCUUAGUUGCCAGCAUUUAGUUGGGCACUCUAAGGUGACUGCCGGUGACAAACCGGAGGAAGGUGGAGAUGACGUCAAAUCAUCAUGCCCCUUAUGACCUGGGCUACACACGUGCUACAAUGGAUGGUACAAAGGGCUGCAAGACUGCGAAGUCAAGCCAAUCCCAUAAAACCAUUCUCAGUUCGGAUUGCAGG